CUACACUGACUGAGAGCAGGAAUUUAAGUCACACCCCCUGAAUUUAUUUGCUGACAGUAGCAGCUGGAACUAGCCACACAUAUAAAUUUAUAACAGCCUAGCAAGAGAGACUGCUUUGCAUGUUCUCAGCUGAUGAAGCUUCUCAGCCCCGGUGAACAAAGGGUCAAAGCUAGCUAAGCAGUAAAGCAAGUCAGCAAAGCAUCAAGUUAUGAGCCAAAGAUGCUGCCUCAUUGGGUCACUAAUGCCUUGAAGAUGCUUGCUUCAAUGAAUAGUGAUGGCUGCACCCACAGCAGAAAAGAUCAGUCUUCUUGCCAUAAGGAAAGUGAUGAGGAAAUGUCCUUGAAAGCGUGGGAUAACAUUUGCACCAUACAAAGUUGUAUAUCCUCCCCACAAACAAAUCAGGAUGAAUGCUGACUAAAUAGCCAAUAUCUGGAAAGUGUGGGAUAACACUUGCUUUGAAGCAACAUCAUCUAACAUCUCUGCAACCAAUUCAGGAUGAAUGUUCAAUAAACAGGUUGACUGGAAGCACCCCGAUAUGCUUAUUUGGAAGGAGGGUAUACGAAGACCCCUGUAAUCAAGGAGUAUAUAAAUGUUGUGAAAUUAAAUAAAUAAAUCUGCAAUUGUGGCCUUCAGAAGAUAUAGGAACUUCUCGAUUAUCUGUUAUGCACCUCCCUUUAACAAAGAUUUGGGCAGAUUUUCGAGAUGGAAUGCCUGAAAUAGGAGAGGUUGAGAAAAUGUUUAUCAUCUUCCUGAUACGAACAAAUAUAUGACUCAUAUAGUAUCUAAUCUUUGCAUUUGGCAGUGCAAAAGGUUAGAAAUAAAUUUGCUCCACAAAAUGUGAUUAUAUGGCUUAAAGGAGCCAUCUGACUUAAUGGUUUAUAUCGGCCAGUCUGCCAUUUGCUGUUUUUAUUAUUCAAUUGUUCAUUUUGCAUUGUAAAUUUUAUAAGUGGUUUUAUGUUUAAUCUGUAUAUUAUGUAUUGUUUGUGGCAUUGCAGAUCUACAAUGUGUGCCCCAGGUUUGCAAUUACCAAUGAUCACAAGGAAAUAAUGAAACUGAAUACUGAGCUUAUGAUGGUAUGUAGCCAGGCAGAUUUGACUAUGCAAAUGAAGUAGCCUUUAGGAGUCAUUGCCCUCACUCUCAAUGGGCAAACACCUCCUCCCCAUUUUACUGUAACCCCCCCAAAACCCACCACCACCACAAGAGCUUCAGUAGUGCUGAAAAUUGUUGUGAACACUGAACGCCCCCUUUUCAAGUCAGCCUGAAUAGUUCAAAUCUUCCCUUUGGGAGAGGUACUCUGUCAGAUAUUGGGGUCCUGAGCCAUAAAGAGCUUCAUAGGUCAAAACUGGGCUGGGAAGCAUGCAAGCAGGAUUAAGAACGGUUUUCUCUCGCUACCCAAGGCAUGUUGAGCUGCACUUUAACGCCUCCCUGAUGCCUGCUCCGGAAUGAUGCUCUGUCAGGAGUGUUGAGGAGGCAUUAAAAUGGCGGCUCCCACUUUGUACACUCCUCUUCCUCUUCCUCGCUGCCAGGUGGCAAGGAAAGGAAUGCUAAGAGUCCACACCACCUAGUUCGCGGUCAGGUUUCGUUGGGCCCUCUCAUCUGUCUGAGGAUACCACUUGCCCAGACUGCUCCCCAAUCAAACCCACGAAUGACUGCGCCGCAUAGAUGUGGCCCUCCAAAUGCUGUUGGACUCAGCUCCCAUGGCCAACGGCUGGCUGGGGGACAGAGAGGGCUGCGUGAAUGUGAGUAGGAACUAGCCUACUGCGGGAAGAUAACAUAUUCAUUCCUCUGCCCACUUUUGCCUCUGGCCCUGCCCACCACUGGUGUGUGGUGCCCCCUCUGAAAGUUACCCAGAAGGGAAUGCGGCCCUCAGACUGAAAAUGUUUCCCCACCCUCUGAUCUAGAGGCCAGCAGAACACAAGCAAGACUUGAGUCCCCAUCCUCAAGGAGUUUUCAAGCGCAGACAGGGUGGCUGGGUGGGGACUGCUGGCAAGAAAUGGUUGGCUAGAACAGAGAGGCUGAGGUAACAAACUGCACAGGGGGGGAGAGAGUGAUGAUCACUAAGGGAGGAUGAAUAUUGGUGAUGCACCCAGACACUUUCUAUAUGAAAGAGGCUGACCUGUCAAUAAGCAAACAUGGCCACCCCUAGCUAGUUUGGCCCCCAUUCUGCUCAUGUCUUGAGUGCACCUCAAGAGAACUUUCCCAAGUCACAGAGCAUUUGAAAGAGACACAUGCAGACAAGGAAGCCAGGAAGUUGUUGUGUCGGUCCCCAAAAGGAUGCCUUAUUUUCCAAGUUGUGCAUUUUCAACUGACCUAUUUUCAUAUGUUUUUUGUUUAUUAGUCUAAGCAGGAGAGUUUACUUCUCUCUCUCCUAUAACAAGGGCUAAAUUUUAAAAUAUUAUUUGGCAAAAACUCUUUGUUGCUGACAUCACAUGUCUUUGGGAAUAAAGGGGCUUCUGAGGCAUAGUUUUCAUGUCCAAGGCCCAUCUCCACCCAGAGGAGGGUAGAGCUAAGGAGGAGGUGUGUUGCCUUUUGAACGCCAGCCAAACACAAAGAAAGCGUCUUUUUUCCAUGACUACAUAUUGUGUAACUGCUGUACUAUUUUCCCGGAGGAAGAACACAGAUGUU
Long non-coding RNA from Rhineura floridana, 2625 nucleotides. RefSeq lists it as uncharacterized. The transcript has 3 exons. The record is from RefSeq and is a predicted model, not a curated record. Lineage: Eukaryota; Metazoa; Chordata; Lepidosauria; Squamata; Rhineuridae.